CUUCGCUGACGAGUGGCGGACGGGUGAGUAAUGUCUGGGAAACUGCCUGAUGGAGGGGGAUAACUACUGGAAACGGUGGCUAAUACCGCAUAACGUCGCAAGACCAAAGAGGGGGACCUUCGGGCCUCUUGCCAUCAGAUGUGCCCAGAUGGGAUUAGCUAGUUGGUGAGGUAACGGCUCACCAAGGCGACGAUCCCUAGCUGGUCUGAGAGGAUGACCAGCCACACUGGAACUGAGACACGGUCCAGACUCCUACGGGAGGCAGCAGUGGGGAAUAUUGCACAAUGGGCGCAAGCCUGAUGCAGCCAUGCCGCGUGUAUGAAGAAGGCCUUCGGGUUGUAAAGUACUUUCAGCGGGGAGGAAGGUGUUGUGGUUAAUAACCGCAGCAAUUGACGUUACCCGCAGAAGAAGCACCGGCUAACUCCGUGCCAGCAGCCGCGGUAAUACGGAGGGUGCAAGCGUUAAUCGGAAUUACUGGGCGUAAAGCGCACGCAGGCGGUCUGUCAAGUCGGAUGUGAAAUCCCCGGGCUCAACCUGGGAACUGCAUUCGAAACUGGCAGGCUUGAGUCUUGUAGAGGGGGGUAGAAUUCCAGGUGUAGCGGUGAAAUGCGUAGAGAUCUGGAGGAAUACCGGUGGCGAAGGCGGCCCCCUGGACAAAGACUGACGCUCAGGUGCGAAAGCGUGGGGAGCAAACAGGAUUAGAUACCCUGGUAGUCCACGCCGUAAACGAUGUCUACUUGGAGGUUGUGCCCUUGAGGCGUGGCUUCCGGAGCUAACGCGUUAAGUAGACCGCCUGGGGAGUACGGCCGCAAGGUUAAAACUCAAAUGAAUUGACGGGGGCCCGCACAAGCGGUGGAGCAUGUGGUUUAAUUCGAUGCAACGCGAAGAACCUUACCUGGUCUUGACAUCCACAGAACUUUCCAGAGAUGGAUUGGUGCCUUCGGGAACUGUGAGACAGGUGCUGCAUGGCUGUCGUCAGCUCGUGUUGUGAAAUGUUGGGUUAAGUCCCGCAACGAGCGCAAC
This 1023-nucleotide ribosomal RNA is filed under the name Salmonella enterica. Its description in RNAcentral is "bacterial SSU rRNA". It matches the Rfam family "Bacterial small subunit ribosomal RNA", at positions 83 to 1102 of the family's 1533-position model. Lineage: Bacteria; Pseudomonadati; Pseudomonadota; Gammaproteobacteria; Enterobacterales; Enterobacteriaceae. The record is from RNAcentral.